Molecule: ribosomal RNA, 464 nt
Filed under: Vreelandella stevensii
Lineage: Bacteria; Pseudomonadati; Pseudomonadota; Gammaproteobacteria; Oceanospirillales; Halomonadaceae
Description: partial 16S ribosomal RNA
Rfam family: Bacterial small subunit ribosomal RNA
Source: RNAcentral
CCUACGGGGGCUGCAGUGGGGAAUAUUGGACAAUGGGCGAAAGCCUGAUCCAGCCAUGCCGCGUGUGUGAAGAAGGCCUUCGGGUUGUAAAGCACUUUCAGUGGGGAAGAAAGCCUUGGGGCUAAUACCCUCGAGGAAGGACAUCACCCACAGAAGAAGCACCGGCUAACUCCGUGCCAGCAGCCGCGGUAAUACGGAGGGUGCGAGCGUUAAUCGGAAUUACUGGGCGUAAAGCGCGCGUAGGCGGUCUGAUAAGCCGGUUGUGAAAGCCCCGGGCUCAACCUGGGAACGGCAUCCGGAACUGUCAGGCUAGAGUGCAGGAGAGGAAGGUAGAAUUCCCGGUGUAGCAGUGAAAUGCGUAGAGAUCGGGAGGAAUACCAGUGGCGAAGGCGGCCUUCUGGACUGACACUGACGCUGAGGUGCGAAAGCGUGGGUAGCAAACAGGAUUAGAUACCCUAGUAGUC